AUUGAACGCUGGCGGCAUGCUUUACACAUGCAAGUCGAACGGCAGCGCGGGCUUCGGCCUGGCGGCGAGUGGCGAACGGGUGAGUAAUGCAUCUGAACGUGCCCAGUAGUGGGGGAUAGCCCGGCGAAAGCCGGAUUAAUACCGCAUACGACCUGAGGGUGAAAGCGGGGGACCGAAAGGCCUCGCGCUAUUGGAGCGGCCGAUGUCGGAUUAGCUAGUUGGUGGGGUAAAGGCUUACCAAGGCGACGAUCCGUAGCUGGUCUGAGAGGACGACCAGCCACAUUGGGACUGAGACACGGCCCAGACUCCUACGGGAGGCAGCAGUGGGGAAUUUUGGACAAUGGGGGCAACCCUGAUCCAGCCAUGCCGCGUGCGGGAAGAAGGCCUUCGGGUUGUAAACCGCUUUUGUUCGGGAAGAAAUCCUCUGGGCUAAUACCCCGGGGGGAUGACGGUACCGGAAGAAUAAGCACCGGCUAACUACGUG
RNAcentral lists this ribosomal RNA (484 nucleotides) under uncultured bacterium. RNAcentral's name for it is "partial 16S ribosomal RNA". It matches the Rfam family "Bacterial small subunit ribosomal RNA", at positions 28 to 507 of the family's 1533-position model. The record is from RNAcentral.